This 329-nucleotide ribosomal RNA is filed under the name uncultured eukaryote. RNAcentral describes it as "partial 18S ribosomal RNA". It matches the Rfam family "Eukaryotic small subunit ribosomal RNA", at positions 1470 to 1796 of the family's 1831-position model. The record is from RNAcentral.
CCCUUAGAUGUUCUGGGCUGCACACGCGCUACACUGAAGGGAUCAGCGUGUUCUUUUCCUGGUCCGAAAGGAUCGGGUAACCCGCUGAACCCCCUUCGUGGUAGGGAUCGGAGCUUGCAAUUACUCUCCGUGAACCAGGAAUUCCCAGUAAGCGCAAGUCAUAAGCUUGCGUUGAUUACGUCCCUGCCCUUUGUACACACCGCCCGUCGCUACUACCGAUUGGACGUUUUAGUGAGGUAUUUGGACUGGACCUUCGGAGGUUCGCGCCUCCGUUGCUGUUCGGGAAGACUCCCAAACUUGAGCGUUUAGAGGAAGUAAAAGUCGUANCA